AUGGGGGCGGUUUUGAGAGAUGAAAAAGGUAGGUUUAUCGCGGGAGGAAACGGGAAGAUUGACUAUUGCGAAGAUGUGUUGAUGGCGAAAGCCUCAGCUCUUAAAUUUGGUAUAACAUUGGCGCAAAGGGCGGGAUGUAAUCGCCUUAUUAUUAACUCGGACAACCUGGAGGUGAUUGAUACCAUGAAGAACGGAGGACAGUCGGCGGGUGCGGCGGCGACAAUUUUCGACGAUUGUUUUCAUUAUGCUUGUGAUUUCGUUGCUACUAGAUUCGAACACUGCAACAGAGAAGCAAAUAAAGUAGCUCAUAAGCUUGCGAGUUUAGCUAGAUUUUCGUUGGUUUCUGAAUGGUUUGAGGAACCUGUAAAUGAAAUUGUAAUGACCCUCACUGACGAUGUACUUGCUAUCUCUAAUGAAUAA
Molecule: ribosomal RNA, 420 nt
Filed under: Triticum aestivum (bread wheat)
Lineage: Eukaryota; Viridiplantae; Streptophyta; Magnoliopsida; Poales; Poaceae
Description: partial small subunit ribosomal RNA
Source: RNAcentral